GCUGGGUGUGGUGGCGGGCGCCUGUGGUCCCAGCUACUCAGGAGGCUGAGGCAGGAGGAUCGCUUGAGCCCAGGAGGCAGAGGCUGCAGUGAGCCGAGAUUGUGCCACUGCACUCCAGCCUGGGUGACAGAGUGAGACUCUGUCUCAA
RNAcentral lists this small RNA (148 nucleotides) under Macaca mulatta (Rhesus monkey). RNAcentral's name for it is "Metazoan signal recognition particle RNA (ENSMMUG00000062489.1)". RNAcentral also lists the same sequence under 1 other name. Lineage: Eukaryota; Metazoa; Chordata; Mammalia; Primates; Cercopithecidae. The record is from Rfam by way of RNAcentral.